AACUGAUCCUUUGGCAGAUGAAGAAAAUACCGGGUUAACCCACCCCAGGACGGUAGUAACUCCUGAUUAAAUACAGAAAAGAAGAUGUGGCCAAACCAUGACUCACGCUUCUGUCAAUGCAGAGCCCCAAAGGCAGAUGGACGAGAAGAAACGUUCAGAGUACCCAACCUGCCGAAGCAAGCACUGGAUUCAGCAUUUCCAUCAAGCUCCCAGGUGACACUGACACGGCAGAUCUGCUAGCUGUCCUUUAAACA
This is a long non-coding RNA of Lepus europaeus (European hare), 254 nucleotides long. RefSeq lists it as uncharacterized. The transcript is spliced from 3 exons. Lineage: Eukaryota; Metazoa; Chordata; Mammalia; Lagomorpha; Leporidae. The record is from RefSeq and is a predicted model, not a curated record.